ACUUAUUCACCAACCACAUAGACUAUUAUGCAAGAGGAUUCUUCAGAAUUUGAGGAGAACAUUAUAUUGCAAGAGUUCCGCAAAGGAUUUAAACUUGGGGACAGACUUCUACGGCCAUCGCACUGUUAUGUACUUGCGACGAAAAUAACAUAAAUAACAGAAAACUCAAAUACAAGAUCAAUACUCAAUGGAAAAUUGGAAAUUAUGGAAUUUGGAAUAAUCAUGGUCGUAAAAAUAAUCAUUGAUUUGGAAUUUGGACACUAAACUCAAUGAACUGGAAUGGAAUUUGGACACUAAACAAUAAUCAUUGAAAAUUGCAAUUUUAAGAAUAUAAAUAAACGGAAUGGACUGGAGGUGAUGAACUUACCUGGAAGUUGCUCGUCGGCGGACAGGAAUGAACUGGAAGUUGCUCAUCGGCAGACUGGAGGGAUCGUCGGCGGACUGGAGAGAUCGUCGCCGGACUGGAGGGAUCGUCGCCGGACAGGAAGAAUCGCCUGAAGGAUUUGGAGUUAUAACUUCAAGAAGGAUUUGGGGUUUUUGAUUUGGGGAAACAGAUUUGGGGUUUUGGGGUUUUUGAUUUGGAAAAACUGGGGAAAUAACUUUAAAAUGACUUAAUUUAACACAAUUUGGGAAAACAUUUAAAAUGACUAAAAUGACUUAACUUAGUUUAUACUUUUGGGGAUAUUACAAUUAAACUUAGUUUAAAAUUUAAAAGUUAAUAUUACAAUUUAUUAAAAUCACUAGUUGUAAUUAAUUUUUAAUAAUUUCUAAAAAAAUCACUAGUUGUUAAUUUUUUAUUUUUUAGGAUUUAUAAUUUAAAAUAACUUUAAUUUAUAACUUCUUCUAUUUUUUUUAAUGUAAAAUAAACUUAUUUUAUAAGUUUUAAAAUAUUUAAUUUAUUAAAUUGAUUUUUUACUUUUUACGAUUUAUAAUUUAAAAUAACUUUUAUAAUUGAAAUUUUAACUUUAAAAAUUAAAAUACCUUCUUUAAAUUUAUUUUUUAAUUUUAAAAUUAAAAAUAUCUAAAAUAACUUCAAUUUAUAAUUUUUAUAAUUUAAAUUUUUAUAAUUAUCUAACUAUAAUCUAACUUUAAAUUUUUUAUAAUUUAUAAUAUCUAAAACAAUAUAAUCUAACUUCUUUUAACCCUAACUUCUAACUCUUACUUUUAACCCUAACACCAUCUAAAUAUGUAUAUAUACUAAUUUUUACAAAUUUCUAUUAACCCUAACACUAACCUUAACCCUAAUUAUUUAUAUUUACUCUAACCCUAACCUAUUAUCAUUAUUAGCCCUAAAAAAUGAGGAAAAUAUUGGGGAAAAUGAAAUAGGUGGGAAUGAAAUAGUUAAAGGGGGGGGGGAAAUGAAAAUUAUUAAAUAAUUGCUAUUUGUAACGGAAUAUCCGUUAAAAAUAGUUAAAAAAUCCGUUACAAUAUAUAAUGGAAAUAGCAAAGUUACAAUAUACAAUAUACAAUCCGUUAAAAAAUCCGUUACAAUAUACAAUCCAUCUUGAUAUCUAGUAUUUGUAACGGAAAUAGCAAAGUUAACGGAAAUUCCGUUACAAAUUCCGUUAACUUUGAUAAUAAGUAUUUGUAACGAAAAUUCCGUUAACUUUGCUUCGUCCGAACUGCCUACUUUUUUUUGUAGUGAGGUGGGCCUGCUUGGACGCCCCCGCCCCGUUCUACCUGCUCUGUUUGGUCGUUGGGCGCCGCAGGAUUUUCGUCGGACGUCUCUCUGACACCUCGCCGUCCGCGCCGGGUGCUGGCCUUCACUCUGCUUCCCGACGGUCUGGGCCCUGAGCUCUCUCAAGGGCCUCCCAGCCCGUCCUAUUAACUCCAGGUAAACGCAACGCCUCAUCUUUCGCGCCCUCCGAACCCACUAUAAACCCCUUUACUUCCCCUCAUCCUCGCGUCUGAUUUUCAUUUCUUCUUUCGCUCUCGCGCUCGUCUCCCUCAACUGCGACUUCCCUCUUCUCUCCAGGUUGCUCAUGGCCGCUCCUCCUCACGCCGAUGCUGGCUCCGCCGUUGCGGAAGCCCUUGUUGCCACUCCAGAUGGCAAGAACCUGCUGUCUGUCAUCAGUGCCGACGGGGUCCGAGACGCUCUGGCGAGGAUGGACCAGCCUGACCUUGACUUCACCGAGGCCGGAAAUCGCCUCGCCUCUUAGCCGCCGUCGGGCAUGGUCGCCCUCUAAGCCAACUAAGCCGAGGCCGGCCUGACUCUUCUGCUCCCUCCUCUGGUGGCCGAAGCCAUGCGGUUCUGCGAUAUCUCGCUUUCCCAGUUCCCCCCGACCGCCAUCGAUCGUCUGGUGACGUUUUCGUUACUCUGCCGCUGGGCCGGCGUCGAGGCUUUCUUGCCCGUCUUCCUCAUCUGGUUCUCCAUGACGUCUGACCCUCGCUGGCUGUUGAUCGCUCAGAGAUCGGGCGGUGCCCUUUUCGAUCAACUGGUCGACCGAUCUCGCCACUGGCGUGACCGGUUCUUCUUCGUCUCCCUGGACGCCCUUGGCCCGUUUGAACUUGAGAUGCCGCCGCCCUCUCGUUGGGCUCUUCUGACGCAGCUGAAGAACCGGACCACAGCCCCCAGCCACCCCGAGUUGGAGUCUCAGGCGCUGAACGCGCAGGACAUCCUAGUCAGCAUCUAUCGCCGCGGGGCCGUCAAUGCUCGGACACUGGCUCAGUCUUGGAGCUACGAGGAACACAUGCUCUGCCCAUCAAGGUAGAUUACACUCGGGACGGGCCGCCCAAACGCUCGCAUAAGAAAAACAAACGGUCGCGCGACGCUAUCCUGUUGGAGCCGCCCGUGCCCUCGCCCCAAGGCCCCGACGACGAACCCAAAGGCGAGCCCCCGGCCAGGUCCGACGCUGGUCUUGAAGACAGUCGGGCCGAGAAGUGGCGAAGGAAGAAGCUUCGUUCUGAGAAGCGGAAGUCUGCAGCUACUGCCUCAGAGACGGUGGUUGAGAUCGAGGACUUGUGCUCUUCGGACCCCAACCCUUCCGAUCCCCUGUCCGCCGAAUUCGUGGCCUCUCUUCGGAGAGAUGGGCUGAAUCUUGAACACUUUCGCACGUUCGUGCGGAGCAUCGAUCAUUCGGCCGAAUUCUCCGCCCCCGUCGAUCCUGCGUCCUCCCUGCCCCGCCUCGGCGAGAUUUUCAAGAAGAAGCUCUCCGACAUCGAUUCCUGGUUGGAGCCGGAAGACGAGUAUGUCCGGCUUCUCGAAUGCCCUCCGUUGGACAUCGACCACGACCUGAACCAUCAGAUACUCCAGCUCUCGGUUCUUACCAAGGUUCGAUUGGAGCAGGGCCUCCGGCAAGACGAAGAGGUCCAGCGGAUACGCGCCGAGCUCACCGCAGUGAAGGGCCAACUGGAUGUGGUCGUGCGCGAGCGGGACGUCCUGGCUGCCGAGGCUUCCAAAGUUACCAAGGAGGAGAAAAUUCGUGCCGCCGCCGCCCAAGAUGCCCUUGCCGCCGCCGUGACUGCAGCCAAGGAUCGGUUCGUUGAGAGCUUUGUUCCUACUUUCGAGGCCCGUUUGGGGGAGUUGAAGCUGGACCACGCCGUCAUGCUGAGGGAUUCCAAGCGCGCCGGCUUCUGGAAAGGUUAUCAGCACGGGCGUCGGAUGUGCGAGCUCGUUUACCCUCCCCUUACCUACGACGUCGUGCCCCGGAGCCGCUGUGAUUGGAAGCUUUGGGAAAAAACGGGUGUCCCUUCCUACCAGCCCCCACUGGACGCGAGCGACAGCGAGGAGACGAACCUCGAGGCCGACUCUCCUGAUUACACGGAGCCUCCAAGCAAGUAGCCUUUCGUUCGGUCCUGCAUAAUUUUUACCCCCCUUUUUUUUUGCUUCGAAUGUAUUUGAACACUUGGCUAUUUUUGUUAAUAUUUUUUGCAACUUUUGGAUGUUCUCUUUCUCUAUUCUUCCUACUUCGACCUCUUCUCCUCCCGUGGUCUUUACUCGCUACAUGCGUACUUUCGAGGGGGCGGCCUGGUUCGUCCGGGCGCUCCCAUGCGGUCUGUUGACUGGGGAAGCCCCGGCUGGUCUUUUCGGCGGGCCCCCUUCGUUUCCUUGCUCCCAACUCGUCCGUGUUGCGGGUGUUCGGGCCCUCCCUUUCCCACGCUUAGCAUCUUUCUCACUUCGCUCCAUAUCACUUUCGCGUUCUUCCUUAUUGCGGUUUUUUUUUCUUUUUGAGGGAGCGGCCUGGGCCGUUCGGACGUUUCCCAUGCGAUCUUUCGACCCUGGGGACCUUCCGUUAGCCUUUUCGGCGGGCUCCCUCACUUUUUUCUUGCUUCGCAACAUAUCGUUUACGCGUUCUUACUUAUUGCGCUUUUUUUCCUUUGAGGGAGCGGCCUAGGCCGUUCAGACGUUCCCAUGCGGUCUUUCGACCCUGAGAACCUUCCGUUAGCCUUUUCGACGGGCUCCCCCACAUUUUUUCCUUCUCUUUUUUUUUGAAACAUGGGGGCACUCUGGGUGCGUUUUACUAGGUAUCGCGUGCCGUGGUCGGGAGGUCCGACAUUACAUGAGACGGGAGGGGAAGGGAAAAAAGAAAAAUAUACACCGGCCCCGAAAACACUGCUUCAUUGCCUAUACUUUUCCAGGUUGUCGGCGUGCCAAGUUCUUUCUAUUUCUUGCCUAUCCUCGUACCCUAGGCGGAAGAUGCCCAGGUGAAUUUCGUCCAUGAUGACGUACGGGCCCUCCCAUCUCUCCGACAACUUCCCCUUCGUCUGGUCCACCCCUGUUAUCUUGGCGUUCCUCAGCACGAGGUCCCCUGGUGCCAGUUUUUUGUCGGCCACUCUUUCGUCGUGGUACCUCGCCACCCUUCGUUUGUAAGUGAGGUCCCUGAUGGACGCCUCCUCUCUCCGACGUUCCAGGUGUUCUUUUUCCAGGAACAUCGCUUAGUCGUUCGUUUCCGGCUGGUAUUGUUCGGCGGGGGGGCCUCCUCUGCGGCGGAUCGUCGGUACAGUCUGUUUGGGCCACCACGAACCAGGCUGCUCUGUUUCUCAGUUUUCUGGCCUCCAUUGGAUCCGCUGGCUCUUCGCCUGCGUCGAUGAACCUCCUGAUCGGUGUUCUCCAAUCCCCCGAUGUUAUUACGCCGCAUAACACUAGCUGUCGUUGGCCGCUCCUGGUUCUCGAUUCAGAACCAUCUUCCUUCCGCUUUCCCUGGGGACGCUCCCAGCUUGGCCAGCGUGUCAGCCUCCCCGUUAUCCUCUCUCCCUAUCUGGGAGAUCUUCCAUUCCUCGAGCUUGCCCAAGGCCGUUCUUGCUUCGGCCACGUAGCUCGCCAUUGAGUCCUCUUUGGACACGAAGUCGCCCCUGACUUGGUUGGCUACUAGUCGGGAAUCCGUGUGGAGGUGCACUUUGGACGCGCCCAGCGCACUUGUUAGCCUAAUUCCCGACAGGAGGGCUUCGUAUUCCGCUGCAUUGUUGGUCGCCCGAAACUCAAAAUGGAUCAAGUACUCGAUCUUUUCCCCCGUCGGAGUUUUCACCACGAACCCCGCACCGCAAUCUGUGCUACUGGAUGACCCGUCCACGUGAGCCGUCCACCACUGCUCGUCCGCCUUCUCAUCGUCCUUUGGGACUAGCUCGGCCAUGAAAUCUGCCACCGCUUGCCCUUUGACCGCCCUCGCCGGCACAAUAACCAGGUGGAAUUCACUAAGUUUCAUGGCCCAUUUGGUCAGUCUUCUCGAGACGUCCGGCUUUUGCAGGAACUGGAGCAGCGAGUAGGCCGUUGGGAUUGUGACGGUGUGGGCGUGGAAAUAUGAUUUCAACAUUCGGACCGCCGAGACCACCGCUAGGGCCAGUUUCUCGAUAUCUGGGUACCUUUCCUCCGCCCCCUGCAGCAAUCAGGAGUGGUAAUAUACUGGGCUAUGUAAGCCCUCCGCUUCCGAGAUGAGUACUGCGCUGACGGUCGAAUCCGAUCAUGCGACGUACAUGGUGAGUGGUUCCCCUCUCGCUGGAGGGCGGAGCGUUGGCAGGCGAGAAAGCUGGAGCUUGAGUUCCUUGAAAGCUACCUCGCACUCGUCCGACCAUACUACCCUGGGGCCUGGGUUCCUCAACAGUUGGAAGAACGGGUGUAGGCGGUCCGCCAUUCUCGGCAGGAAUCUGCUUAAUGCCGCCACUCUUCCGUUCAGCUUCUGGACUUCCUUUAGCAUCCGUGGUGGGUUCAUGGUCAUGACGGCCUCAACCUUUUCCCCUCUUGGCUUGAUCCCCUAGGGCGUGUUCCGGAAGCCCAGGAAGUGCCCCUCCUUAACCCCAAACGCGCACUUUUUUGCCUUUAACUUGAGCCCCGCUUUUUUGACAUUGGCGAAGGUCUCCUCUAGGUCGGCUAGGUGUGUCUUGGUCUCCUUUGAUCGGACGAGUAUGUCGUCCACGUACACUUCCGCGUUCCUGCCUAUCUGUGCCCCGAACACUUUGUCCAUUAGCCUGUGGAAUGUAGCCCCGGCGUUUCGUAGACCGAAGGGCAUUACUUUGAAACAGAACGUGUCCAUCUCUGUGAUGAACGACGUCUUCUCCUCGUCCUCUCUUGCUAUGGGCACUUGGUUGUACCCUGAGUGCGCGUCCAUGAAACUCAGCAUUUCACACCCGGAGCUCUGGUCCACCAACCGACGGUAGUGGGUAGCUAUCCUUGGGCACGUUUUGUUGAGGUUUGUGAAGUCGACGCACAUCCUCCACCCCAUGUCUUCCUUUUUCACCAUGACCACGUUGGACAGCCAAGCGGGGUAACGCACUGGGCGAAUGAAGCCCGCUCGAAGGAGUUUCUUGACCUCCAUCUCUGCCGCCUCCCUAUAGCCUUCUAUAGUAAGAAAAUAGGAGGAAGAAUGGCUUCAGCAUCUAUAUAUAUCAAAGAAAUGUUUGCUAUCACGCAAGCUGUGGGUAAAUUGAGGCACUACCUAUUGGGUAAUCAUUUUGUGAUCAAAACAGAUCACAGAAGCUUAAAAAAUCUGUUAACACAAGUGAUUCAGACACCCGAACAACAGGUUUUCCUUUAUAAAUUGCUGGGCUACGAUUUCACAAUUAUUUACAAACCUGGAAAAGAUAAUAAGGUUGCAGACACUUUGUCCAGAUGUUAUGAUGAAGAAGAAAUUAUAUUCAGCAACAAGGCUGACAACCACAAAGGCUCCUUAUUAGCAUUAACAACUCCUAUUUGUUCCUUAAUAGAAGAGAUGAGAAAGGAAAAUGAAAUAUCACCAGAAACACAACAAUUAAUUGCCAAUAUUAGUUCAGGAUCCAAAAAAACCCAAAACUACACUUUUAAAGAUGGGUUGGUGCUAUACAAGGGCAAGUAUUACUUGAAAAACACUUCUGUUAUAAUUCCAAAAGUAUUGAAAGAAUUCCAUGAUUCACCAUUGGGAGGCCACUCCUGUAUAGAAAGAACUAUCAGAAGAAUUACAACUCAAUUUUGGUGGCAAGGUAUGAGUAAUGAUAUCAGAAUUUAUGUUCAAAACUGUUUAACCUGUCAACAGAUGAAGCCGCUUAAUCAGAAAGCAUUCGAGCUGUUAAUGCCUCUGCCUAUUCCUCCUUCUAUAUGGCACGACUUAUCUGUUGAUUUUAUUACAAAUCUCCCCAAGGUUCAAAACAAAACUGUGAUCAUUGUUGUAGUAGACAGACUAUCUAAAUCUUGUCACUUAGGGGCACUUUCAACAAAUUACACAGCUUACAUGGUGGCUGAAUUCUUGUGCAAGAGGUGAUAAGGUUGCAUGGAUACCCAAACUCAAUAGUUUCUGACAGGGAUAAAGUUUCUCUCAAAAUUCUGGAAAGAGUUAAAUAAGCUUAGUGGGACAACUCUGAAUUUUUCUACUGCUUACCACCCUCAGAGUGAUGGCCAAACUGAGGUUGUUAAUAGAAUUAUCGAGAUGUAUUUAAGAUCUCUAGCUCACGAAGAUCCAAAAAAAUGGCUUUCUCUACUUCCUUGGGCAGAGUUUUGGUUCAAUACCAAUUACAACUCCUCUAUCGGGCAAACACCAUUCCAAAUAUUAUAUGGAAAGGAAGCUCCUAUUUUACCAAACUAUAUUGAAGGUAGUUCUUUUAUUGAUGCUGUGGACAGAGAAUUGAAUGAUAGGGAGUAUGCUUUGGAGACAAUGAAAAACAAUUUAAUCAAAGCCCAAAAACGGAUGAAGACAAAUGCUGAUAAACAUAGACAAGAAAUACAGUUUAAUGUGGAUGAUUGGGUAUUGGUCAAGCUAAAGCGCUAAAGACAAUCAACAGUAGCAGUUCGACUUCAUAACAAAUUAAAUAAGAAAUACUUUGGUCCCUACAAAAUCAAAGAAAAAAUCAGCAGGGUUGCUUACAGAUUAUCUCUGCCUCCGGGAAGUCGAAUCCAUAACACAUUUCAUAUAUCCUUGCUGAAGAAAUUUAUUGGCAGCCCACCUGAAAAUAAAGAUAUGACACCUUUAAUAGCGGUAAAAAAUAACCCUAUUUUGAUUCCUCUAGCUAUUAUAGAUUAUAGGAUUGUCUACUGGAAGGGAGGGCGAUUUCAUCAAGCUCUGGUCCAGUGGGACGGAGAUCCAGUUGAAGAUUCCUCAUGGGAAGAUGUUACAGCUCUGCGCAAGUCUUUUCCCUCAAUACACCUUGAGGACAAGGUGGUUCUCCGAGAGGGAUACCAUGAUACGAAGCGGGUAGACAAGGCUGGGAUAAUAGAAGAUCUGGAGAAGAACCACGAGCUCAGUGAAGAGGUCGUCGGAGAAGAAGAAAUUGAAGAAAAAGAAAGCGAACAGAGAAAAGGAAAAUUAGAUCAGAGUCGCCAGGUGAGGGAGAGCCGUUCCAAGAGGGCUCCAGGCUGGACUGCCAAUUAUGAUAUGGGCAGAUAAGGGUUAAUUUGCAAUUAGAUCCUUAAGUUUAGAUUAGAUGUGUGAUAUUGUUUGUAUAGUUUUAAUUGGAGAAUUUCUAUUAUACACCCUUAUGUAAUUUACCCUAUAAAAGGGCUCAAUUGUAAAUAUUGUGAGUCAUCU
Molecule: long non-coding RNA, 8927 nt
Filed under: Zostera marina
Lineage: Eukaryota; Viridiplantae; Streptophyta; Magnoliopsida; Alismatales; Zosteraceae
Description: long non-coding RNA (ZMAR_LNC000194)
Source: RNAcentral